GGAACUGGCAUACCUGUACUGAUCGAGGUCAAAGUUGAAAAAAAGGCUUAAUGGAUGCUAGACCUUUGCUGAUAGAGAGUGCGACUUGUGCUGCGCUCCGAAACCAGUAGGCCGGCUGCCAAUUACUUUAAGGCGAGUCUCCAGCAAAGCUAGAGACAAGACGCCCAACACCAAGCAAAGCUUGAGGGUACAAAUGACGCUCGAACAGGCAUGCCCUUUGGAAUACCAAAGGGCGCAAUGUGCGUUCAAAGAUUCGAUGAUUCACUGAAUUCUGCAAUUCACACUACUUAUCGCAUUUCGCUGCGUUCUUCAUCGAUGCCAGAACCAAGAGAUCCGUUGUUGAAAGUUGUAAUUAUUAAUUUGUUACUGACGCUGAUUGCAAUUACAAAAGGUUUAUGUUUGUCCUAGUGGUGGGCGAACCCACCAAGGAAACAAGAAGUACGCAAAAGACAAGGGUGAAUAAUUCAGCAAGGCUGUAACCCCGAGAGGUUCCAGCCCGCCUUCAUAUUUGUGUAAUGAUCCCUCCGCAGGCCCCCUUACCGAAAAAAAAUUGCC
This 555-nucleotide unclassified non-coding RNA is filed under the name Alternaria citrimacularis. RNAcentral's name for it is "sequence contains ITS1, 5.8S rRNA gene and ITS2". The record is from RNAcentral. Lineage: Eukaryota; Fungi; Ascomycota; Dothideomycetes; Pleosporales; Pleosporaceae.